CCUACGGGAGGCAGCAGUGGGGAAUAUUGCACAAUGGGGGAAACCCUGAUGCAGCGACGCCGCGUGAGUGAAGAAGUAUUUCGGUACGUAAAGCUCUAUCAGCAGGGAAGAAAAUGACGGUACCUGACUAAGAAGCCCCGGCUAACUACGUGCCAGCAGCCGCGGUAAUACGUAGGGGGCAAGCGUUAUCCGGAUUUACUGGGUGUAAAGGGAGCAUAGACGGCAGCGCAAGUCUGGAGUGAAAUCCCAUGGCUUAACCAUGGAACUGCUUUGGAAAAUGUGCAGCUAGAGUGCAGGAGAGGUAAGCGGAAUGCCUAGUGUAGCGGUGAAAUGCGUAGAUAUUAGGAAGAACACCAGUGGCGAAGGCGGCUUACUGGACUGUAACUGACGUUGAGGCUCGAAAGCGUGGGGAGCAAACAGGAUUAGAUACCCCGGUAGUC
RNAcentral lists this ribosomal RNA (440 nucleotides) under uncultured bacterium. RNAcentral describes it as "partial 16S ribosomal RNA". It matches the Rfam family "Bacterial small subunit ribosomal RNA", at positions 338 to 795 of the family's 1533-position model. The record is from RNAcentral.